GACACCCGGGUGUAGGACCUG
This 21-nucleotide unclassified non-coding RNA is filed under the name Mus musculus (house mouse). RNAcentral's name for it is "oocyte_clustered_small_RNA11772". The record is from RNAcentral. Lineage: Eukaryota; Metazoa; Chordata; Mammalia; Rodentia; Muridae.